Molecule: ribosomal RNA, 253 nt
Filed under: uncultured bacterium
Lineage: Bacteria
Description: partial 16S ribosomal RNA
Rfam family: Bacterial small subunit ribosomal RNA
Source: RNAcentral
UACGUAGGGUGCGAGCGUUGUCCGGAAUUAUUGGGCGUAAAGAGCUCGUAGGCGGUUCGUCGCGUCGGCUGUGAAAUCCCGAGGCUCAACCUCGGGUCUGCAGUCGAUACGGGCGGACUGGAGUUCGGCAGGGGAGACUGGAAUUCCUGGUGUAGCGGUGAAAUGCGCAGAUAUCAGGAGGAACACCGGUGGCGAAGGCGGGUCUCUGGGCCGAUACUGACGCUGAGGAGCGAAAGCGUGGGGAGCAAACAGG